Molecule: ribosomal RNA, 484 nt
Filed under: uncultured bacterium
Lineage: Bacteria
Description: partial 16S ribosomal RNA
Rfam family: Bacterial small subunit ribosomal RNA
Source: RNAcentral
AUUGAACGCUGGCGGCAUGCUUUACACAUGCAAGUCGAACGGCAGCGCGGGCUUCGGCCUGGCGGCGAGUGGCGCACGGGUGAGUAAUGCAUCGGAACGUGCCCAGUAGUGGGGGGUAGCCCGGCGAAAGCCGGAUUAAUACCGCAUACGACCUGAUGGUGAAAGCGGGGGACCGAAAGACCUCGCGCUCUUGUAGCGGCCGAUGUCGGGUUAGCUAGUUGGUGGGGUGAAGGCUUACCAAGGCGGCGAUCCGUAGCUGGCCUGAGAGGACGACCAGCCACAUUGGGACUGAGACACGGACCAGACGCCUACGGGAGGCAGCAGUGGGGAAUGUUGGACAAUGGGGGCAAACCUGAUCCAGCCAUGCCGCGUGCGGGAAGAAGGCCUUCGGGUUGUAAACCGCUUUUGUUCGGGAAGAAAUCCUCUGGGCUAAUACCCCGGGGGGAUGACGGUACCGGAAGAAUAAGCACCGGCUAACUACGUG